GUGCCCAUAGCUCAAUUGGUUAGAGCACUGGUCUGUGGAACCAGGGGUUGUGGGUUCAAGUCCCAUUGGGCACC
Molecule: transfer RNA, 74 nt
Filed under: Chloroflexota bacterium
Lineage: Bacteria; Bacillati; Chloroflexota
Description: Chloroflexi bacterium (bioreactor metagenome) tRNA-His
Rfam family: tRNA
About the family: Transfer RNA (tRNA) molecules are approximately 80 nucleotides in length. Their secondary structure includes four short double-helical elements and three loops (D, anti-codon, and T loops).
Source: RNAcentral